AUGGCGAGUGCGCCACUGCACAUCCUCCAGCUAUGGGUCUGGGAGCGCUUCCCGGAGCUUCGUCCUGAGGCUGAGAUACCAAGCACUGCCUCCCACGGGGAUGAUCCCGGCAUGCCGAGGGCUGCCAAGUGGCACAAUGUCAGAAAUCCGCUUGAUCCUGGGUACAUCCACGCCGUGCUCAUGUCCCCGGAGGAGUUCGAAUGGAGGCCUUAUGGAGGCAGUAGCUUUGCUCUGCCACAAGGCAAAGAUGGCUGCUGGGUGCACUGCCAUGAUGUAGCAACAAGCAAGGAGCUGCAAUCCUUUGCACAGUGUCUGCUACCCUGCGAGCUCGUCGGCAUGCAAUGCAUCGAGCACUACUGUCCGCACCGUGUCGCAAGGCAGCUGGGCUUCGAUCAGGACGUGCCGGGGACCGUCACCCGUGCCAAUUCAUGUCGAAAGACCGCGUGGGCGACAUACAGGAUGCGGCCUGAAGACGUUUCGUUCUUCGUUCCGCGACGUGAUCCGGGCAUGACGGUUGAAUACGCACAAUGGUGGAAGCCUUACUCGUCGGCAUGUGCUGCUGCUGUUGCUAAUGCUGCAAGGAUGAAACAACCUAAUGUUGCUGGUGAUGGUCUCAGUCUCAGUGGUGUAGAUUGUGGCAAAAAGCGUCACUUGGAGGCUGGGAUGACUCCGCAAGAUGAUAUAGAGGACGAGAUUCCGCUGGCGGAGAGGCUGAAUAGUGUCAUUCUAAAGACGCAAAGCCAGGAUACAGAGACUCGUAUUUUGGAAGAUGGCGAGACAAAGCAAAAUUCAGAGGCAGUUUUGUCUGAUUUGGUGGCAAGCCGGGUAAGAAAAGGUAGACGUAGGGUAAUCUCACACAAAGUUGCUGAGCAAGCUUUGCCUGAUUCAGAGGCAGUUUUGGUGAGUGCAGUUGAUCAUAAACCAUUGUGUGGGCCGGUCACCAAGAAUGAGCAUUUUGAAAAGCAAGCAUCGGCCUCUGUUUUUACGUGUGAUGAGAAGAAUGUCAGUUCAGAACAUGGUGAAGUCGAGGGUGCAGUGAGCGCUAGAAGCAACAAAGGCAUUGGAGCUGCAAUUGGAGUGGACGUGUAUUCAAAUCUUCCAGAUAUCCUGGCGAUCAGUGAUAAUGAGUUGGAUGAAAUAUUCGGAAAGGAAAGCGAGGCAACUGCAAUUUGUAUGGAAUUAUCAAAGUUAUCGAUGGCAACAUCCAACUCAGACCAGCCAAUAAGAAGAGAUGAGCAGGACUGCAGUGAGUCCAAGGAUAUCAUGGUGCAAAAAAAUUGUAAUUAUGAGCUUCCUGCUGUCCAAAGUGAUAGCACCCUCAGACAAGAACCAGAUAAAACACGCGAUGUAAUGGAAGAGGGAGAUCAGAGAGCGAAGGUGGACAGAGAAAACUCAGCUGUUUUCAAAGGAAACAAUGAUGCAUCUUCUAGUGGUCUAGUAUAUGGAAAUGAUGAACUGGUCAAGAGAGUAAUUUCUACUAAAACACUCUACUAUCUUAGACCAUUCGACUGGGUGAAAGAUGCCCAGGUCAGAGAUUCAAGAGCCACCAAUGCAGGUCAAGUGAUUCUCCAACCAGGACGGGAAGUCGGGACACCGGAAAUGAUUAGAGAGGCGUCUGAAGCUCGAGAAGCAGAAAAGGUUGAGUUGGAAACAAUAAUUGAUUGUCUCAAGGAAGAAAUUGUCGCGCUAGAGAUGCAGUUGAGGGACAGGACAACGUCUAAAAUUUGA
RNAcentral lists this ribosomal RNA (1728 nucleotides) under Triticum aestivum (bread wheat). Its description in RNAcentral is "partial small subunit ribosomal RNA". The record is from RNAcentral. Lineage: Eukaryota; Viridiplantae; Streptophyta; Magnoliopsida; Poales; Poaceae.